CAUGACCUAACCACAUUAAAUUUUUAUACAAGCAGUCCUCUCUCUUUCUCUCUCCAACCAGAAGCGCCUUUUCAAUAGUAAAAAAUCUCCUCCUUCCUUCAACCUCUUUUUUCUUCCCUGUUCUAGCUCUACAUCCAUCUCCCCGAACAUGGGCACUACCCUGUUAGAAGCUCUCAACGUCCGUGUAGUCGGCUCUGGAGAGAAAUUUCUCGUUCUUGCCCAUGGAUUUGGAACGGACCAAUCAACAUGGCAGCGCAUUCUCCCCUUCUUUACUCAAAACUACAGCGUAAUUCUUUACGACCUCGUUUGCGCCGGCAGUGUCAAUCCUGACUACUUUGAUUUUAGAAGGUAUACUACUCUUGAUGCUUACGUCGAUGACUUGCUUAACAUUCUUGACGCUCUUCGCGUCGAUCGCUGCUCCUAUGUCGGUCACUCUGUCUCCGCCAUGAUUGGUCUGUUGGCCUCCAUUAGGCGCCCUGAACUCUUCUCCAAACUCAUCCUCAUAGGUGCUUCCCCAAGGUAACGCCUUACUUCCUGCUUAAAUGAGUUUUCGUUUUCUUGUUUGAUUCAUUUUUUCUUGAUUGGCCCUGAAAUUUGUGUUAUACCCCAGAUUCUUGAACGACAAAGAUUACCAUGGAGGAUUCGAGCGAGCUGAUAUUGAGAAUGUUUUUGUAGCAAUGGAAGCGAAUUAUGAGGCCUGGGUCAAUGGUUUUGCGCCUCUAGCCGUGGGGGCGGAUGUGCCGGCGGCGGUUAGAGAAUUCAGCCGGACCCUUUUCAAUAUGAGGCCAGAUAUCACAUUAUUUGUAUCCAGGACCGUAUUUAAUAGUGAUCUAAGAGGGAUACUAGGCCUAGUCAAGGUACCCUGUUGCAUAAUUCAGACAUCCAAGGACGUGUCCGUACCAGCCUCGGUGGCGGAGUAUUUGAAGACCCAUUUGGGUGGGGGGAGCACGGUCGAAUUAUUAAGGACAGAGGGUCAUUUGCCACAUUUGAGUGCCCCAGCGUUGUUGGCUCCAGUGCUCCGGCGAGCCCUUUCGCGAUGACCAUGUGUGUUGUGUUGUGCUUGUGUGGGGAUGGAUGAAGAAGUCAAUUGGGCUCCGGGUUGCUACUGAGUGAAGUGUGGGUCCAACAAAAAAAAAUAUAAUAAGAGUGAGUGUUGACACGUGGCGAAUAAUUUUGUGGAUGUUAGUCUUUGUACUUUGGAUAAUAUGUACUAGUUGUGUCGGAAAUGAAAUUGAAUGAUAUUUUGGAAAAGAUAAGAAAUGCCCACGUGAGAAUCACGUGAUGAGGUAUGCUACUUACCUUUUUUUCUUUUUUAAUCCUCGUGGUUUCUUUUUUCUUUGUAUUCUCUUAUCUUCAAUUUAAGCAGAGCAGCCAACCUUACACAACUAAGCUCUUUUAAAUUCGAUUCGAUUUUUCAAUUAAUUUAAUAAAAUAUUUGAAAUUUUGCCAUCCAAAAAUUUGUAUGCCCU
This 1469-nucleotide unclassified non-coding RNA is filed under the name Hevea brasiliensis (rubber tree). The record is from RNAcentral. Lineage: Eukaryota; Viridiplantae; Streptophyta; Magnoliopsida; Malpighiales; Euphorbiaceae.